GGAUAUGUGCCCGAAAACUAGGACUUACCUUGAUAAGGUAAAUAUAGAGGUUUAAACCCUCUCAUCUCCU
This 70-nucleotide transfer RNA is filed under the name Aneides flavipunctatus (black salamander). RNAcentral describes it as "tRNA-Ile". It matches the Rfam family "tRNA". Rfam says of the family: Transfer RNA (tRNA) molecules are approximately 80 nucleotides in length. Their secondary structure includes four short double-helical elements and three loops (D, anti-codon, and T loops). Further hydrogen bonds mediate the characteristic L-shaped molecular structure. tRNAs have two regions of fundamental functional importance: the anti-codon, which is responsible for specific mRNA codon recognition, and the 3' end, to which the tRNAs corresponding amino acid is attached (by aminoacyl-tRNA synthetases). tRNAs cope with the degeneracy of the genetic code in two manners: having more than one tRNA (with a specific anti-codon) for a particular amino acid; and 'wobble' base-pairing, i.e. permitting non-standard base-pairing at the 3rd anti-codon position. The record is from RNAcentral. Lineage: Eukaryota; Metazoa; Chordata; Amphibia; Caudata; Plethodontidae.